ACCAGCCGUGAAGGUCGCCCCGAAAGGGCAACGACCUUUCACCCGGCCACCCUUGCUUACUUUAACCUGUUGCUUUGGUGGGCCCGCCGUGAGGCCGCUGGGGAACUUGAGCUCCCUGGCCCGUGCCCACCAAAGUCUUAAUCGAACCCUGCAAGUUUUAUGUUGUCUGAGUGUGAAAGCACAACCUUUUUA
RNAcentral lists this unclassified non-coding RNA (192 nucleotides) under uncultured Eurotiomycetes. RNAcentral's name for it is "sequence contains ITS1". The record is from RNAcentral. Lineage: Eukaryota; Fungi; Ascomycota; Eurotiomycetes.